GUGAGGUAACGGCUCACCAAGGCAACGAUGCGUAGCCGACCUGAGAGGGUGAUCGGCCACACUGGGACUGAGACACGGCCCAGACUCCUACGGGAGGCAGCAGUAGGGAAUCUUCCGCAAUGGACGAAAGUCUGACGGAGCAACGCCGCGUGAGUGAUGAAGGCUUUCGGGUCGUAAAACUCUGUUGUUAGGGAAGAACAAGUGCUAGUUGAAUAAGCUGGCACCUUGACGGUACCUAACCAGAAAGCCACGGCUAACUACGUGCCAGCAGCCGCGGUAAUACGUAGGUGGCAAGCGUUAUCCGGAAUUAUUGGGCGUAAAGCGCGCGCAGGUGGUUUCUUAAGUCUGAUGUGAAAGCCCACGGCUCAACCGUGGAGGGUCAUUGGAAACUGGGAGACUUGAGUGCAGAAGAGGAAAGGGGAAUUCCACGUGUAGCGCUGAAAUGAGUAGACAUACGGAGGAACACCAG
RNAcentral lists this ribosomal RNA (469 nucleotides) under Bacillus cereus. Its description in RNAcentral is "bacterial SSU rRNA". It matches the Rfam family "Bacterial small subunit ribosomal RNA", at positions 252 to 712 of the family's 1533-position model. Lineage: Bacteria; Bacillati; Bacillota; Bacilli; Caryophanales; Bacillaceae. The record is from RNAcentral.